AAUGAACGCUGGCGGCGUGCCUAACACAUGCAAGUCUACGAGAAAAGGGUAGCAAUAUCCUGAGUAAAGUGGCGCACGGGUGAGUAACACGUAGGCAAUCUGCCUUCAGGACGGGAACAACCCCGAGAAAUCGAGGCUAAUACCCGAUAAUGCAGCGGCACCGCAUGGUGACAGUUGUUAAAUGCCCGCAAGGGCGCCCGAAGAUGAGCCUGCGCCCCANAGGUAGUUGGUGAGGUAACGGCCCACCAAGCCUACGAUGGGUAGCUGAUCUGAGAGGAUGAUCAGCCACACUGGAACUGAGACACGGUCCAGACUCCUACGGGAGGCAGCAGUGAGGAAUAUUGCGCAAUGGCCGAAAGGCUGACACAGCGACGCCGCGUGAAGGAUGAAGUCCGUUAGGAUGUAAACUUUC
RNAcentral lists this ribosomal RNA (412 nucleotides) under uncultured bacterium. Its description in RNAcentral is "bacterial SSU rRNA". It matches the Rfam family "Bacterial small subunit ribosomal RNA", at positions 29 to 434 of the family's 1533-position model. The record is from RNAcentral.